GGAAGGUGGGGAUGACGUCAAGUCAUCAUGGCCCUUACGUCCAGGGCGACACACGUGCUACAAUGGCAGCUACAGAGGGUCGCAAUACCGCGAGGUGGAGCCAAUCCCUAAAAGCUGUCUCCAGUUGGGAUCGGAGUCUGCAACUCGACUCCGUGAACGCGGAAUCGCUAGUAAUCGUGGAUCAGCCAUGCCACGGUGAAUACGUUCCCGGGCCUU
RNAcentral lists this ribosomal RNA (216 nucleotides) under uncultured Nitrospiraceae bacterium. Its description in RNAcentral is "partial 16S ribosomal RNA". It matches the Rfam family "Bacterial small subunit ribosomal RNA", at positions 1168 to 1382 of the family's 1533-position model. Lineage: Bacteria; Pseudomonadati; Nitrospirota; Nitrospiria; Nitrospirales; Nitrospiraceae. The record is from RNAcentral.